Molecule: long non-coding RNA, 1313 nt
Filed under: Sus scrofa (pig)
Lineage: Eukaryota; Metazoa; Chordata; Mammalia; Artiodactyla; Suidae
Description: lncRNA (ENSSSCG00070000925.1)
Source: RNAcentral
AAAAAAAUAUAAUAAAUCUAUGAACAAGGACAGUAUAAUAAAAAUGAAUAUUAGAAUAAAAAAGAGCUCUAGGAAAAAAUUUACAGCAUAAAUUAAACCAAAGCUUUGAUCAAAAAGUUGAAUAAAUGUCACAGAAUUAAUUGUGUGCCCCACCAAAUUCAUAUAUUGAAGCCCUAAACUCCAUAGUACCUCAGUAUGUGACAGUAUUUGGAGAUAGAGCUUUAAAGAGGUAAUUAAGUUAAAUGUGGCUCUUAGAGUGUGCUCCAAUCCAAUCUGACUGAUGUUCUUAUGAGAAGAGAUUAGAACACACAGACAGCAGGUGUGUGUACACAGAGGGACGACCACAUGAAGAGGCAGCAAGAGGGCUGCUCUCUGCAGGUGGAGGAGAGAGGCCUCAAGAAGAAACCACUCCCUACUUGACCUUGGAUUACUAGGCUCCAGAACUGUGAGAAAGCAGAUAUAUUUCAUUUAAACCACCCAUUCUGUGGCAUUUUGUUAUGAUAUCCCUAGAAAACCAAUAUAGUAAUUUUCCCAGGAAAUAGAAUCACAGCAACAAAACCAAAAUAAACAAAGCAAAACAAGAAGAUGGAAAGCAUAGAACUACAAGAAAGUAGAGAAAUAAUCAAAACAGUUCAAUAUCUCAUAAAGAGAAAACAGACAUAUUGCAGGAAGAAAAGUAGAACAGAGAGAGUUUAAGAAAAUCAGAAAGUGCUCUGCCAAGUGCCUAGUAUAACAAUUGAAACAAACCACAUACCAAAUCAUAUUGUUGUGCAAUUUCAGAACAGAGGGAAUAAAGAGCAGAUCUUCCAAUCUCCCAGAAAGUAUGAGAAAGAAAAAGAAAGGUCAAAAGUUGAUCACAAAUACAAUGAAACAGAAACCAGAACGAUGUUGGAUUUCUUAAGAACAGAAAAUAUACAUGAAUAAUUUCAGAGAAGCAGAUAUGGAAUGGUGAAACUCCUGCACUCCUCCAAGUGAUCUUUUUACCUGGAAAGGGAGAGAAUGUGUGUUCUGUCAGCAGCUAAGAGCACAGAUCUGGUUACUGAUCAAGACUGAAGCGAGGCUGAGAAAAUGCAGAACUGAGAUCAAGGUGCUCACAAGGGUAACAGUCAAGUUCACUGAACCUCAACUAGGGUGGAGCCAAAGGACAUUCUUCCCAGCACCCUCAGAGGUAUUGCCGCCUUUGGAACAAUCAGUCAAACAACCAAGCCCAACAAUCUCUCUUUUAAUGUUUGUUGGACGUAUUGACAUAGAAAUAGAAUUUUCCUUCCUGGUAGUACUGUGAUGCAUAAUAAAAGAUGAAAAAUUUUUAGUCA